RNAcentral lists this ribosomal RNA (496 nucleotides) under uncultured bacterium. RNAcentral describes it as "partial 16S ribosomal RNA". It matches the Rfam family "Bacterial small subunit ribosomal RNA", at positions 29 to 507 of the family's 1533-position model. The record is from RNAcentral.
AUGCACGCUGGCGGCGUGCCUCAUCCCUGCAAGUCGAGCGCACGGACGAGAAGCUUGCUUCUCUGAUGUUAGCGGCGGACGGGUGAGUAACACGUGGAUAACCUACCUAUAAGACUGGGAUAACUUCGGGAAACCGGAGCUAAUACCGGAUAAUAUUUUGAACCGCAUGGUUCAAAAGUGAAAGACGGUCUUGCUGUCACUUAUAGAUGGAUCCGCGCUGCAUUAGCUAGUUGGUAAGGUAACGGCUUACCAAGGCAACGAUGCAUAGCCGACCUGAGAGGGUGAUCGGCCACACUGGAACUGAGACACGGUCCAGACUCCUACGGGAGGCAGCAGUAGGGAAUCUUCCGCAAUGGGCGAAAGCCUGACGGAGCAACGCCGCGUGAGUGAUGAAGGUCUUCGGAUCGUAAAACUCUGUUAUUAGGGAAGAACAUAUGUGUAAGUAACUGUGCACAUCUUGACGGUACCUAAUCAGAAAGCCACGGCUAACUACGUG